GGGGGUAUAGCUCAGUGAUAAAGCGCGUGCUUAGCAUGCACGAGGUCCUGGGUUCAAUCCCCAGUACCUCCA
RNAcentral lists this transfer RNA (72 nucleotides) under Vicugna pacos (alpaca). RNAcentral describes it as "tRNA-Ala (AGC) (tRNA-Ala-AGC-213-1)". It matches the Rfam family "tRNA". From Rfam's summary of the family: Transfer RNA (tRNA) molecules are approximately 80 nucleotides in length. Their secondary structure includes four short double-helical elements and three loops (D, anti-codon, and T loops). Lineage: Eukaryota; Metazoa; Chordata; Mammalia; Artiodactyla; Camelidae. The record is from Rfam by way of RNAcentral.